Small nuclear RNA from Pteronotus mesoamericanus, 191 nucleotides. RefSeq annotates it as U2 spliceosomal RNA. NCBI's taxonomy places the organism in Eukaryota, Metazoa, Chordata, Mammalia, Chiroptera, Mormoopidae. The transcript has a single exon. The record is from RefSeq and is a predicted model, not a curated record.
AUUGCUUCUUGGCCUUUCGGAUAAGAUCAAGUGUAGUAUCCACUCUUACCAGUUUAACAUCCAAUGUGUCCUUUACCUGAGGACAAUACAGUAAAUUGAUUCUUGAAACAAAGAAGUGGAAUAGGAGCUUGCUCCAUCCACUCCACGCAUCAACCCAGUAUUUUGGUACUCCCGGGAACAGGGCACAAAAA